UGAAUAUUCAGGAAGUCAAAACGUGGUCACGCGGCACUUUUCCGGAACCUGGUGAGCUGAAGUUAGCGGACUGCCAUAGCAGCUUAUAUUUACUAUGGAAGAAGAGUAUUCACAACCAUUAUUCAUAACAGAUUCUGAGGAGAGUGAAAAAGAAAUUGGAGAAAGUGAAUCUCAAGCACAGACGCAAGCUCCAAGAUUCAUGCCACUUUUCACUCCACGCUUUAGUUCUGAGAAUACAGCAUUGAUAUUUUUUAUCACUGUAUGCAAUUUUUUAC
Molecule: long non-coding RNA, 275 nt
Organism: Patella vulgata (common limpet)
Lineage: Eukaryota; Metazoa; Mollusca; Gastropoda; Patellidae
Exons: 3
Source: RefSeq, a predicted model, not a curated record